RNAcentral lists this ribosomal RNA (508 nucleotides) under uncultured bacterium. RNAcentral's name for it is "partial 16S ribosomal RNA". It matches the Rfam family "Bacterial small subunit ribosomal RNA", at positions 30 to 523 of the family's 1533-position model. The record is from RNAcentral.
AUUGAACGCUGGCGGCAUGCCUUACACAUGCAAGUCGAACGGCAGCGGGGGAGAAGCUUGCUUUUCCUGCCGGCGAGUGGCGAACGGGUGAGUAAUACAUCGGAACGUGCCCUGUAGUGGGGGAUAACUAGUCGAAAGAUUAGCUAAUACCGCAUACGACCUGAGGGUGAAAGUGGGGGACCGCAAGGCCUCAUGCUAUAGGAGCGGCCGAUGUCUGAUUAGCUAGUUGGUGGGGUAAAGGCCUACCAAGGCGACGAUCAGUAGCUGGUCUGAGAGGACGAUCAGCCACACUGGGACUGAGACACGGCCCAGACUCCUACGGGAGGCAGCAGUGGGGAAUUUUGGACAAUGGGCGAAAGCCUGAUCCAGCAAUGCCGCGUGUGUGAAGAAGGCCUUCGGGUUGUAAAGCACUUUUGUCCGGAAAGAAAUGGCUCUGGUUAAUACCUGGGGUCGAUGACGGUACCGGAAGAAUAAGGACCGGCUAACUACGUGCCAGCAGCCGCCGUAA